Molecule: ribosomal RNA, 119 nt
Organism: Xenopus tropicalis (tropical clawed frog)
Lineage: Eukaryota; Metazoa; Chordata; Amphibia; Anura; Pipidae
Source: Ensembl
GCCUACGGCCAUACCACCCUGAAAGCGCCCGAUCUCGUCUGAUCUCGGAAGCUAAGCAGGGACGGGCUUGGUUAGUACCUGGAUGGGAGACCGCCUGGGAAUACCAGGUGUUGUAGGCU